Molecule: long non-coding RNA, 554 nt
Filed under: Phoenix dactylifera (date palm)
Lineage: Eukaryota; Viridiplantae; Streptophyta; Magnoliopsida; Arecales; Arecaceae
Description: long non-coding RNA (PDAC_LNC018665)
Source: RNAcentral
CCAUGGUCCUCCUCCUUGGGGUCUGCGAGAGGAUGGAGGAGGCGGAGGAAGGAGAAGAUCUCGCGGAAGAGGAGGACACUAUCCUGCUACUACUCCCAUGCCCGCUUUUGUUCUUCUUCUUGUUGUUAUGCUUGGCAUUUUCUGAAGACCACAUCAGAGGAAGGGGAAGAUGAAGGCUUCUUGUGUGGUUUUUUGGGUGCGAUGGAGUGGAGAGAGUCACGGUGACAGACCGAACAAGUGGUGGUGCUUUGGUGACCACUAGAUUGAUGCUGUGUUCUUCCCACUCCUGUAGACUUUACCUUCUUUCCUCAGAGAAAUAAUAAAACUAUUUCUCGUACCAAGGUGCGCAAGCACACGUGCUUACGCAACUAAAUAUCCGCUAUCCUUCCCACUUAGCAGUAUCCGUCUGCUGCAUUAAUCACCAUCCUGAUGCUACCAGCGUUGGCAUAAAAAACGAGCCCACGGUCCGUAGAAAUACAUGUCAGUAGAGCGAGAGGACUGAGGAGCAAUGAGUAUGGGGGUGUGUGACAUAUUGAGCUAUUGAUUGAUGGGUU